Molecule: long non-coding RNA, 667 nt
Organism: Fukomys damarensis (Damara mole-rat)
Lineage: Eukaryota; Metazoa; Chordata; Mammalia; Rodentia; Bathyergidae
Exons: 3
Source: RefSeq, a predicted model, not a curated record
GCCGGCUUCAUAUAUCAAAGACAAGGAAACUGAAUCUGGUGGUGAUUAAGUCAAUUUUAUGAAUCUCUAUAAAAGAUCAGUUCCCAGCAAGCCAGGUGCCACAAAGGACUUGUAGGUAUCUUCCGUCUAGAGCUCUUUAUAAGCCGAACUAUUCCUCUCAGCACAUGGAUGUCAGUUAGGAAAACGAAAUCCUGGUGCAGUAGUGCCCCCACCCUAAUGUGGAGUAUAUUACUUAAGGUAUAGGCCAUCUCUUUCCUGGAUUGAAUGCGCCUCCUCUGCUCGCCCCUUCUGGAAGCCUCUGUGUGUGGAUGCAGAAUCUGCAGACUCUCAUUCCAGAAGGCUGAUAACAGCCCUGCUUAAAAAGAACGGGUGAUAAUCACAAUGACCAACGCGCAGCUGUAUCAGCAGACUACUUAUGCCAAAGUGAACAUUGGCUCACGCCGGAGUCUGAACAACAGUGCAACUCACAGUUCAGAAUACCCUGACUCCAAAGUUCUUCAGGGUGAAUUGAAUUUAGAACACACAGAAAACGCAUAAGAAUUAGUCGUGAGUUGGAGUCCUUCUGGAUUACACUGAGUGAUAGUUUGGAAGAUUUAAAAAACGGCACCAUUUCCACAGCUUUGUGGCACUCAAUCUUUUGAUGUAAAUAUAAAUUACUUUGUUUUCU